RNAcentral lists this ribosomal RNA (500 nucleotides) under uncultured Glomeromycotina. RNAcentral's name for it is "partial small subunit ribosomal RNA". It matches the Rfam family "Eukaryotic small subunit ribosomal RNA", at positions 591 to 1092 of the family's 1831-position model. The record is from RNAcentral. Lineage: Eukaryota; Fungi; Glomeromycota.
CCAAUAGCGUAUAUUAAAGUUGUUGCAGUUAAAAAGCUCGUAGUUGAAUUUCGGGAUCAAUAUGUCGGUCGUGCCUCGGUACGUACUGGCGUCAUUGGUUUCUCCCUUCUGAAGAACCGCGAUGUCAUUAAUUUGGUGUCGUGGGGAAUCAGGACUGUUACUUUGAAAAAUUUAGAGUGUUUAAAGCAGGCUCGCGCUUGAAUACAUUAGCAUGGAAUAAGGAAAUAGGAAGUUUUGAUUCUAUUUUGUUGGUUUCUAGGAUCGACGUAAUGAUUAAUAGGGAUAGUUGGGGGCAUUAGUAUUCAAUUGUCAGAGGUGAAAUUCUUGGAUUUAUUGAAGACUAACUACUGCGAAAGCAUUUGCCAAGGAUGUUUUCAUUAAUCAAGAACGAAAGUUAGGGGAUCGAAGACGAUCAGAUACCGUCGUAGUCUUAACCAUAAACUAUGCCGACUAGGGAUCGGAUGAUGUUAAUUUUUUAAUGACUCAUUCGGCGCCUUACG